This 917-nucleotide long non-coding RNA is filed under the name Malus domestica (apple). RNAcentral's name for it is "long non-coding RNA (MDOM_LNC018916)". Lineage: Eukaryota; Viridiplantae; Streptophyta; Magnoliopsida; Rosales; Rosaceae. The record is from RNAcentral.
UGGUUUACAUCGUGGGAGGGUGAAGAAAGGAAUAAAAAAGAACCAAAAGCUGCCUUUGCAGCUGGAGAGAACACGAGAGGGCAGGAGGUCAGAGAGAAGCAGCAAAGCUUCAGUGCCAGCGCGGGGAGACUGUCAGAAGCAGGAGAUAUAAGGGGGCGGUCUUGGGGGAGAAACGAGAAGAAAAAGGGGGAGCUGCCUUUGGGCAGCUCGCAGAGACGCAAGGGACAUGGUGAGCACAGGGAGCUGCCCUUUUUGGCAGCGUGAAGAGUGGAGAGAGCAAAGGAGAGAGGGCUGCCUUGGCAGCGUGUGAAGAAAAGCACACGGAACAGGAAUUGGAGAGCAGAAAGCUGCCUUUGGGCAGCGUGAGGGACAGAAAAUAGAAAGAAAAUAGAGGGAGGUCAGAGAGGUUAGAAGAGAGUAGCGCGGAUGGGAGGAGGACAGAGACAACGUCAGGUGGACAGAAGCUGCAAGCCUUCUCUCUCUCGGUUAAAUCUUUCUAAAACUUCUAUUUUAUUUCUAUUUUUAAUAAUGUGUAAAUAAAUUGAUUUUGGCUAGAGGUUAAUUCAAAGCCAUGAUUAUAUCUGUAAUAUGAAUUGAUUACCUUCGGUUGUGAUUUCAUAAGUUGUGAUUUCAAUUUACUUAUCCGUUCGUAUAAAAACUGAUUUGUGUAUGUUGGUUGAGAGUGCACGCUUAAUUUACAUGCAUGAAUUUGAUGCUAGAAUAUAAGUGAAUUUCACCUAAUCGUUAUGAACUUAUUUUCACAAGUAGUAAAGGUUGCUAGUCACAAUCACGUUAAGUAAAUUCUUGGCAAGAGUAUCAUGCUUUUCAUAGUUACGAAUGUCUCGUCAAUGCUUAUGUUUUUCAUAGAACUUAAUGAUUCUUGCUUGUAUCUCUAUUAUGCAAUUCAUGUAGGGAAC